RNAcentral lists this ribosomal RNA (253 nucleotides) under uncultured bacterium. RNAcentral describes it as "partial 16S ribosomal RNA". It matches the Rfam family "Bacterial small subunit ribosomal RNA", at positions 524 to 776 of the family's 1533-position model. The record is from RNAcentral.
UACGUAGGGGGCUAGCGUUGUCCGGAAUCAUUGGGCGUAAAGCGCGUGUAGGCGGUCCGGUAAGUCCGCUGUGAAAGUCGGGGGCUCAACCCUCGAAUGCCGGUGGAUACUGUCGAGCUAGAGUGCGGAAGAGGCGAGUGGAAUUCCUGGUGUAGCGGUGAAAUGCGCAGAUAUCAGGAGGAACACCAAUUGCGAAGGCAGCUCGCUGGGACGUUACUGACGCUGAGACGCGAAAGCGUGGGGAGCAAACAGG